ACGUAGGGUGCGAGCGUUAAUCGGAAUUACUGGGCGUAAAGCGUGCGCAGGCGGUUCGUUGUGUCGGCGGUGAAAGCCCCGGGCUCAACCUGGGAAUGGCCGUUGAAACUGGCGAACUGGAGUGUGGCAGAGGGGGGUGGAAUUCCGCGUGUAGCAGUGAAAUGCGUAGAGAUGCGGAGGAACACCGAUGGCGAAGGCAGCCCCCUGGGCUGACACUGACGCUCAGGCACGAAAGCGUGGGGAGCAAACAGGA
RNAcentral lists this ribosomal RNA (253 nucleotides) under uncultured prokaryote. RNAcentral describes it as "partial 16S ribosomal RNA". It matches the Rfam family "Bacterial small subunit ribosomal RNA", at positions 525 to 777 of the family's 1533-position model. The record is from RNAcentral.